This 468-nucleotide ribosomal RNA is filed under the name uncultured bacterium. Its description in RNAcentral is "partial 16S ribosomal RNA". It matches the Rfam family "Bacterial small subunit ribosomal RNA", at positions 28 to 507 of the family's 1533-position model. The record is from RNAcentral.
GACGAACGCUGGCGGCGGGCUUAACACAUGCAAGUCGAACGGAAAGGCCCUGCUUUUGUGGGGUGCUCGAGUGGCGAACGGGUGAGUAACACGUGAGUAACCUGCCCUUGACUUUGGGAUAACUUCAGGAAACUGGGGCUAAUACCGGAUAGGAGCUCCUGCUGCAUGGUGGGGGUUGGAAAGUUUCGGCGGUUGGGGAUGGACUCGGGGCUUAUCAGCUUGUUGGUGGGGUAGUGGCUUACCAAGGGUUUGACGGGUAGCCGGCCUGAGAGGGUGACCGGCCACAUUGGGACUGAGAUACGGCCCAGACUCCUACGGGAGGCAGCAGUGGGGAAUAUUGCACAAUGGGCGGAAGCGUGAUGAAGCAACGCCGCGUGCGGGAUGACGGCCUUCGGGUUGUAAACCGCUUUCGCCUGUGACGAAGCGUGAGUGACGGUAAUGGGUAAAGAAGCACCGGCUAACUACGUG